Photinus pyralis (common eastern firefly) is the source of this 717-nucleotide long non-coding RNA. RefSeq lists it as uncharacterized. Lineage: Eukaryota; Metazoa; Arthropoda; Insecta; Coleoptera; Lampyridae. The record is from RefSeq and is a predicted model, not a curated record. The transcript has 3 exons.
UGAAUAGUUAUGAUGUUCAAAAGUAGUUCUAAUGAUUAGACGGAUUUUGUUUAUGUUUCUACAUAACCCCAAUAAAAUAAUAAUUUUUACAUGUAGCUGAAGGCUUUUGAAAUAUUGAAAGUUACAGUUUGGAUAAAUCGAUGACUUCACAGGGAACAAAUGGACGACACAAACGGAAUGCUCUGACCUGGAAGUUGAGUGGACGUUCCGGUCUCGGCACAGGGAACUCGUGGCUGUUGUUCUCCACUUGGUGAUGAUUGUCCGCAGCAAAAUCCUCAAUCCGGUGACAGGUCAGUUCAGAGACGAUACAUCGACAAUAGGACAAAAAGUAGACGUAAAAAGAAAAGAAGCUAGAAUAGAUUCGACCAUUACAAUAAGUUUUACAUAUGUAAUAAUUACCUCGAAGAUGUUUCGAGCUUCUCAAGUAAACCGAAUGGUUUGUACGAUUUUUGUGUCCGCCGAAGCGAUGCUGUUCAAUACCGUACUCCAAAAUACUUCAAUAACUUAGAGUGGCUACUGGAAUCGUACCAUGCUCACACGAAGCUAUCAGAAGACGGAAUGGCCGAAACCAGGAAAUGUACAAGAAGAAAAAUCAAGUUCCAACAAUGUGACAGGAAGAGAAGAAAAUAUCAGAAAUAAGUCAAUAGGUCAAGUACAAACAAUAAAUAAGUAAACAAGACUGUAGGCAACACAUACGACAUACAAGGAUUUAAUUAA